CUUUACUCUGUGGGGGUGAUUGGCUUCGACAUAUACACGGAGUUACCAUAAACAAAAAAGAGAAAUCGUAUCAAGAAAUUUAUCUUCCUGUAUCCAACCCAUGAAAGUUAUGUUAGAAUGAUUGUUCCUAAUCUUUUUUGAC
This is a long non-coding RNA of Ipomoea nil (Japanese morning glory), 142 nucleotides long. RefSeq lists it as uncharacterized. NCBI's taxonomy places the organism in Eukaryota, Viridiplantae, Streptophyta, Magnoliopsida, Solanales, Convolvulaceae. The record is from RefSeq and is a predicted model, not a curated record. The transcript is spliced from 3 exons.